RNAcentral lists this transfer RNA (87 nucleotides) under Calothrix sp. HK-06. RNAcentral's name for it is "tRNA-Ser". It matches the Rfam family "tRNA". From Rfam's summary of the family: Transfer RNA (tRNA) molecules are approximately 80 nucleotides in length. Their secondary structure includes four short double-helical elements and three loops (D, anti-codon, and T loops). The record is from RNAcentral. Lineage: Bacteria; Bacillati; Cyanobacteriota; Cyanophyceae; Nostocales; Calotrichaceae.
GGAGAGGUGGCUGAGUGGUAAAGCAUCCUCCUGCUAAGAGGAAGUAGGUAGCAAUAUCUACCGAGGGUUCGAUCCCCUCUCUCUCCU